ACUGGAGCAGCUGCGCCGCGAGUGAUGCAGACAGACAAGAUUCUUGAAUAUAAGGCAUGAGUACGGGAAAUAUAUUGCGAUAUUUACAAAUACAGGCAAGACGGGUGUCAUUGGGACGGAGUCUGUCACGCAGCAUCUUCUUCUGGAAAUUGAUGAUUGACUCAAGCAUUGCAUUCUCUUGGAUCUCAGUGGGAGGGAUCACAAUGCUGCAGUCCAUGAAGUCAGCGAUGGCGUUUGUCAGAUCUUUCUCAGUCUGGGCCAAGAAGGCCUCGAGACAGAACACCUGAACACAGAAAGCUUUUAUUCACCUGCACCAAACAAAGUCGGCAACUUUUAAUUUGUGGGAUCUCAUUGCUAAAGCUUUAUGCGGCUGAACUGUUCUCAUCUCUCUCACCCAGUCGGCCAUCAGAGCACCCAUGGCACGGCCACUUUCACUGUAGUCUAUUCCGCCCUGGCUGGGGCCCACCAACACAAACACGAAGCGAACAGGGACAGAUGACUCCAGGACAGAGUCCAUCACCACAGAGUCACUCAGCCUCACAAAAGCCACCACUGGUUUCUGCAGGAUAUCCAGGACACCUAUCAAAAAGACACUUUUAUUUUGUCAUCUGCUCUAGAACCACAUACAAAACCCCUGAGACACAUAACUGGUCUUGAAUUACAUGAACAUACCUGAGAGGACAACCGAGGCCUCCACGUUGUCAGAACUGUCUCUCUGCAAAAACAGCAGAAAAGGUCUGCAUCUGAAUGUCUCCAGAGGGAGUAACCACAGUUCCUUCAGACUGACUGGAAGGACAAAUAAAAUGAACAUAAAGUGCAUGCUGCAAUCACUUUUUGUGGCAAUAUCAUCUUGUAGAAGAAACAUAGACAUAUUGUUUCUUGUGGGUGACCUGCGUUUCAUGAGGAGAGCUCUCAGCAGGUCAUCCCGAUCACUGGCGCGAAUCUCAUUCUUGUUCAACAGCUCAUCAACCACCUUCUCGGCCACAGUGGACAGACUGCUGGCAUUCAGGUCAAAGAUGACAGCACCUGAGGACAUAUGAAUUGCUUUAGAUAAAUAAAUUAAACUAAAACAAGUUCGAUAUUAUCCGAAUGUAUGCACUGAUUUCUGUUGCAUUCAAAAUUCCAAAGUCACCUGUGCUCAUGGUCCUGCGGAGCUCGAUCAGGCUCUUAAAAGUGAGAUAGGAGACAUGAGAAGGACCCCAUUGUCCUGUGCUGGUGUUAAAGUUCUCCUCGUAGCCCACCCAGCGGCCAGUCUCCUGCCAGGUGUUGCCCUGGAGCUCAUUCAGCUCCACAUAGGCCUGUGUUAAUGGAAUGGGGUUUGUUAAUAAACAUACAGGCAGAUAAUGUUAUUUUGAAUUCACUUUUAUGUCUGAUAAGUGUGAAGAAUGUCGACUAACUUGAGCAUCCCCUCUUGUGGUGGCAUUGGUGUUCACGUUCAGAUAAGCUGAAAUAAAGAGACAGAAAAGUGAUUUGUGCACAGAUAUGACAAGUCAAAUCACCAACAGCUGCAUAGCUUGUGAAGGGAGCCUACCCUCUGAAUCACUGGGGAUGACAAUGGCCUCCACAGGUGGCUCAUCCUCCUCUUCCUCUUCCUGCAUCCUCUUCUCCAGGUUGUAGAUGCCGCUCUGGCCUGGUGAAGUCCUGAUGGUGUGACAAAAAAACCCAAACAUUAAUAAAGACUAAGGAUGACUGCUUCAUAACAACACCUAAUGUUUCAUCAGACCGUAUGAACGACAUGCAAGAGACUCAGCUCACUGUUUGGAAAAUGCACUCCCAUAAUUGUGUCUGUAAGUUAAACAGACUUUGAGUCCUGUAACGGUAGUUAGCAAAUAGUUUAAAAUCCAUUCAAGUAGGACUCAGUUUAGGCGGAUCAAGAUCUCCAUAACUGUCAAAUUCCUCUAUUUGUGCUAUUCUAUCCUAGGCCACAAGAGGGCAAGAUUGCUCAACCUAUUUCUUAUCAAUGACUUCUUGGUGUGUUA
Micropterus dolomieu (smallmouth bass) is the source of this 1979-nucleotide long non-coding RNA. RefSeq lists it as uncharacterized. The transcript has 3 exons. Lineage: Eukaryota; Metazoa; Chordata; Actinopteri; Centrarchiformes; Centrarchidae. The record is from RefSeq and is a predicted model, not a curated record.